UGAAAGUCGUCUGAGCCUGCAUGCA
Molecule: non-coding RNA, 25 nt
Filed under: Rattus norvegicus (Norway rat)
Lineage: Eukaryota; Metazoa; Chordata; Mammalia; Rodentia; Muridae
Source: RNAcentral